Molecule: ribosomal RNA, 301 nt
Filed under: uncultured bacterium
Lineage: Bacteria
Description: partial 16S ribosomal RNA
Rfam family: Bacterial small subunit ribosomal RNA
Source: RNAcentral
CAGCCGCCGCGGUAAUACGGAGGAUCCAAGCGUUAUCCGGAAUUAUUGGGUUUAAAGGGUCCGUAGGCGGUCUUGUAAGUCAGUGGUGAAAGCCCAUCGCUCAACGGUGGAACGGCCAUUGAUACUGCAGGACUUGAAUUAUUGGGAAGUAACUAGAAUAUGUAGUGUAGCGGUGAAAUGCUUAGAGAUUACAUGGAAUACCAAUUGCGAAGGCAGGUUACUACCAAUUGAUUGACGCUGAUGGACGAAAGCGUGGGUAGCGAACAGGAUUAGAUACCCCUGUAGUCCCUGUCUCUUAUAC